UACGGGGGGGGUAAGCGUUGUUCGGAAUUACUGGGCGUAAAGGGCUCGUAGGCGGCCAACUAAGUCAUACGUGAAAUCCCUCAGCUUAACUGGGGAACUGCGUGUGAUACUGGAUGGCUUGGAUUUGGGAGAGGGAUGCGGAAUUCCAGGUGUAGCGGUGAAAUGCGUAGAUAUCUGGAGGAACACCGGUGGCGAAGGCGGCUUCCUGGACCAAUAUUGACGCUGAGGAGCGAAAGCCAGGGGAGCAAACGGG
Molecule: ribosomal RNA, 253 nt
Filed under: uncultured bacterium
Lineage: Bacteria
Description: partial 16S ribosomal RNA
Rfam family: Bacterial small subunit ribosomal RNA
Source: RNAcentral